Molecule: ribosomal RNA, 333 nt
Filed under: uncultured bacterium
Lineage: Bacteria
Description: bacterial SSU rRNA
Rfam family: Bacterial small subunit ribosomal RNA
Source: RNAcentral
AUUGAACGCUGGCGGCAUGCCUUACACAUGCAAGUCGAACGGCAGCGGACCUUCGGGUGCCGGCGAGUGGCGAACGGGUGAGUAAUAUAUCGGAACGUACCUUUCAGUGGGGGAGUAACGUAGCGAAAGUUAACGCUAAUACCGCAUAUUCUGUGAGCAGGAAAGCAGGGGAGUCGCAAGACCUUGCGCUGAUUGAGCGGCCGAUAUCAGAUUAGCUAGUUGGUGAGGUAAAGGACUCACCAAGGCGACGAUCUGUAGCGGGUCUGAGAGGAUGAUCCGCCACACUGGAACUGAGACACGGUCCAGACUCCUACGGGAGGCAGCAGUGGGGAA